GGUCUGGUGGUGUAGUUGGUUAUCACGUCAGUCUAACAUGACCAGCGACACGCUGGUUCCCUGCUUACACUGAAGGUCUCCGGUUCAAGUCCGGGCUAGAUCA
This 103-nucleotide transfer RNA is filed under the name Colletotrichum orbiculare MAFF 240422. Its description in RNAcentral is "tRNA-Val for anticodon AAC". It matches the Rfam family "tRNA". From Rfam's summary of the family: Transfer RNA (tRNA) molecules are approximately 80 nucleotides in length. Their secondary structure includes four short double-helical elements and three loops (D, anti-codon, and T loops). The record is from Rfam by way of RNAcentral. Lineage: Eukaryota; Fungi; Ascomycota; Sordariomycetes; Glomerellales; Glomerellaceae.